Molecule: long non-coding RNA, 5472 nt
Organism: Fukomys damarensis (Damara mole-rat)
Lineage: Eukaryota; Metazoa; Chordata; Mammalia; Rodentia; Bathyergidae
Source: Ensembl
GAAUGACUGAACAAUGAACAAGCUUCUGCUGAGUGCCUCCCCCCAGAAAGAUUACCGAGAUUUAUUUGAUAUCAAAGUUUAACUCUUCCUUUUAGACGUAAGCUGCUGGAAUCACUUAAUUUUUCUAUAUUUGGUCCACAUGUGAAAUUCCAACCAACAUCAAAUGAAAGUUUGAUUAAACAGACCAGGAACUAUAUGUGUGAUGGAUGUCAGCCCCCCCACCCCACCCCCAGGGCAGGACGUGGGUCUGGAAACCAGAAGAACUGACAAUACAGAGCUCAAAGUUCUCCCCCAAAGUCCACGGCCUAUGCCCAGAGAAAAACGUGGUAUUUCAAAAUUAUCUCCAACGCAAUGAGGCAAAAGGACAAAGCAGUUUCAGUUUCCAAGAUUAUUCUAGCUUCUCAGAAGCUCUUGUUGCCCUUGAAGCUGGUUUCCUGGAGCAGACAAGAUUCCCAGGAUUCUGCAAGCAGCUAGAGUUAUCUGAAAGAGAAUAUUGGUGAAUCCCAGGAAGUUCCUGUUAACCACCUUCAGAAAGACAAACUACAAGAAUAUCCUUUAUCUAAGCCCCCUACUGUUAUGCUUUGUCUGAACAAAUGAGGGGAAGGAUCUAAUGCCUUGGCCAUGGGAAAUGCCACAUACCCCCCGAGUCUAUCAAGAAGGUACAGUAUGUGAACACAAACUCCUCCCGUGUGAUGAAUCCCAUAAGGACUCAGAAAAAAUCAUGCAAGCACCAAGCAUUUAUUUAUGUGACCAGCUCAUGCAUCAGGAGCAGUUUGUUGGCUCCCAAAAAAUGACAAUAUUUAUACAAUGCACAUACUCCCCAAGAGAAAAUAUUUUGUCAAAUACCAAACAUGAUGUCUGAAAAGAAAUAGACAUUCACAUGACACUAAAUUUUCUGUGUCCUAUCAGUAAGGAAACACCACUUGCAGUCUGUCUGGUUAAGUGUCCUUCACUAGGCUAAGAAUCAACAAAAUCCAUUUUUAACAAAAUCAGAGGAUAUAGGUUUCCUACCAAGACCACCUACAGCCUUCCCUCCACUCUAACUUUCUAAUCAUUAAAUACCCUACUAAUACCUGGUUUGUUUCACUAAAAGAGUCAUUGUAUCACUACACAAUUAUCCCCAACUGUCUAAGCCCUUCAGUCACUGCACUAUGUUCCUACAUAGAAACCUGAAAGAAAUAUGAGUGUAUUCUUUGUCUUCCUGUGUUUGUUAAAAUAGUUGCUCCUUGACAAUGGCAUAUUAACAAACUAUCACAACUGCACUUCAGUUGUUUGAUCUACACAGCACAGGGAAGGCUUUUCAACUCAACAAUCACUUGGAUGGGGUGAGAUUACAGGAGUUGAUCCAUUCGAGGUCAUAAAAAUUCAAUGUGCAUGUGAAAGUAGAUGCUAAAACUUGCACAGAAGGAAAUCAUAGCAUCAAAAAAUGUGCAAGCUAGAAGGAAUCCCCAGAGACUAUAACACCAGCCAAUUCACUUGAUAGAUAAGGAUAGCUCCCCAGAAUCCAGGGAUGAUAUUUGAAACACAAAGACUCCAAUAACAGGGAAGAGGAGCUAUGUGAGAAUUCAGUAUUCUGACAUCCACACCCAGCUUGUCCAACUGUCCCACUCAUCUCUCCUCAAGCACUGCCAUUAGCGAAUUCCUCAGCCUCCUGAACAAAGCUUGCAUGGCAUUAGUGGUGCUAGGCAUUGACAGCUUCUUCUAUCCAAUAGUUUAGAUGAACUAGGAGACAAGUAUAAUGUCCUUUUCCAUGCAAAUGCUAUACUUUCUCUCAUUGCCUUUGUCCCAGUAAAUCCAUAUGGUCUUCACUGGAAAACUCAACAAGUUUUCUGAAAGGCCCAGAGUAUGACAGAAAAUGGAUGAAAUAAUUAGGGCAGAGUAAUCACUAGAUGCCAGUUCUCCUGACUUCCUGUACAUCACACUUUCUACUUUAAAUUCUCCCAUGAGCCAAUGUUCCUGCAGACAGAUCUGAAUAAGGAAACAGCAGAUUAUGUCAUUCAAGUCUUAAAUCAAUCAACUGAUAGCCACUAUACUAUAUAAUAUCCCAUACUACAUGUCUAAUAUUAGCCAAGACAAUCUUCAGCUGAAAUCUUCUUGGUACCAACUUUUUCCACUAAAGACAAACAUGCAUUCAGCUAAAGUAACUGCAACUGCUGUUAUAAAUAUACAGUAUAGAAUUACUUGUAGAGCUCCACAGAAUGAAAGGUAAUUCUCUUUUUUAUGUUUAGUAGUGGCAAGGCUGUUUAAAUUUUGGCAGUUACUCAGAAUUAAGCAUUGAUGCUACAAUCUACUCAGACUUUUUUUAUAUCAAAGGCUAGUACCUCUCUAUAUUAGAUUCUUAUAAUGGGCAAAGUUUCCAAAAUGACACUCUUUUGUUUUAAAGCAACUAUUGCUUUUACAGAAGAAGUUUUAAAUUUGGGCAGAAAAGUACACUGUAGGUCGCAAUUGUAUCAACCAGUGAACAACGAUGAUUUCGGUGUACUUUUUCAUUAACUCAUACCUGUCUUCUCCAAAUACUCCAUCCCUGAGGUUUCACCUUUUAUGUGGUUUUCUUACUUUUUGAUAUGCUGUGCAUAAAACAUGGCAAAUAGUUUAACCGCUAAAUGGAUUUUCUGGUGAAUUUGGACAAAUAGUGUGGAUAGAAAAGAAGUUUCCUUAACCAAGAAGUAGAAGAAAAAGAGGAAGAGAAAGAAGGAUGAGGAGAAAAAGGAGAGGAAGGAAAAGGAGAGGGAGAGGGAGAAGAGCAGAAGAAUGGGAGCAGGAGAGGUGAGGCAGAAAAAGGAGAAAGAGAGGAGGAGAGGGGGAAGAAGAAGAAGAAAAGAGGAAGAAGAGGAGGACAGAGAAGAGAGAAUAUGAAGAAAUAAAUGCUAUUAUUUCUUACAAUAAUAAAAGUUAUUCUGUGCUGGUAAAGAGAGCCCAUGCAGAAAGCACUGCGGUAAAACAAGUUAGAGUGAAAAUGUUUUCAAUCGCUUUAGCAGACACUCCUAGAAAUAACUUUUAUAAAAAUAAUGUAAGUUCAGUUACAGUGUAAAGUUGCACUUAAAUGGGGCCAGGGUAAAACAAGUUAGAGUGAAAAUGUUUUCAAUCGCUUUAGCAGACACUCCUAGAAAUAACUUUCAUAAAAAUAAUGUAAGUUUAGUUACAGUGUAAAGCUGCACUUAAAUGGGGCCAGGGGAGACUGUGCAUAAGAAAGUGAAGACAUGCAUUGCCAAGUUGAUUGAAAUGGGAAGGGGUUGAGGACGAAAACUAGUAACAACCUCUGCAACCAACAGUGAGAUAUAACAGUGAAACAGUGUGUCAAUUUGAUUAAAAUAACAACUGUGUCACUUUUAUAAAAACAGAAAAAUAAUUUAAAUGAUGUGUUGGGAAAUACAGAGCGGUGUGCAUGUUUCAAUCGAGAUAUGCCUAUUCCUCUACCUAAAAGCCUUCAAGUGAUUCACUGUUGCUAUUCAAGCUUUAGCACAUUCUCCUUAAUCAUUAGGGUCUUCUUUUUCUGGCAUCUACAUUACCAACCCCAACUCUCAUCAUUUUCUUACCACCCCAGCUGUGAGUGCCCAGGGUGUGGUGGCACACACCUGUAAUGCUACCAUUCUGGGAAGCUGAGGCAGGAAGAUCUCAAGUUCAAGCCAACACAACAAUUUAGGAAGAUCCUGUUUCAGGAAGAGGGCAGGGAGGAAGGGAGGGAGGGAGGGAGGAGAGGAAGAAAAAGAAAAAAAGGAAGAGAAAGGAAAGAAGAAAUGGCUGAGAUAUAGCUCAGUGCAAAGCUGCUGGGUUCAAUCCCCAGGAGUACUACAAGAAAAGAAACAGCUGCCUAACUAUGUCACCUUCAGCAGUCUACGCAGGUGGCAAUCUUUUGAGAAGACUCCCUGCCCUUCCCCACAGCGCUCCUUGUCUCAGAAUUUUCAUUCCACCCUGCAAGAGACUGAGUGUUUUUCGGUCAUCCACUCACAUUCUGUCCACGAACCAUUUGGAAGGACUCAUUGGAUGUGCACUGAGUGGGUGACUAAGUUAAAGAGUGAAUCGGCGACAGAAUGUGAAUAAAUGUUGCUGCCAUGGCCCCACCACCCCACUACCUAAUUUGACGGAGUGACUGCAUGCAUUUACAACUCUGUGAAGUGCAGUGAAGAGAGACCAGAAGGAAAGCAAACGCAAAAGAUCAUGGUGUUAGGGUCAUUGGGAUGAUUUAUUUUUCAAAAUCUUUUUAAAUACCAUGGGGAAUUUGGAGGGUGGGGAGGGCAGCUAAAAGCUUUCUUAAAGGACAAUUCACGUACUAUACCGUUCCCAUACUUACCAAGUAAAAACAGUCUUCACAGAGUUGGAAAAUGAUCACAAUUACUGAGCAGCUUCGCCAUCAUGAGAAAAGACCCCACACCCUUUCCCUAUUAUUCUCAGCAACCUCCCAUAUACACCCAUCCCUAAGCAACUACUAAUGAGUUGUCUUAAUAUUUACUUAUUCUGAAUAUUUCAUACAAUAGAAAUCAUCAAAGAUGUUAUCUCUUGUGUCUCUGUCAUUCAGCAUAAUAUAUUCAGAGUUCAUCCGUAUUCUAACACGUAUCAGUACUUUAUAGCAGAAUUAUUGCAUGGAUAUACCAUAUUUUAUUACCUUUGAACUACUACAAAUAGUGCUGCUGUGAACAUUCACGUAUAAGCUUUGGUGUAGACAUAGCAUUUUCAUCUCUCUUGGAUAUAAACUUAGGAUUGAAAUUGCUUGUUGAUGUUUUGAUUUUAUAUUUAACUUUUGGAGGAUCUGCAAGGAUGCUUUCCAAAGUGGCUGCCCUACAUUACAAUCUUUCCCACAUUGUAUGAGUCCCAGUUUCUCCACAUCCUUGUUAACAUUUUUUUCUGGUCCUUUGACUGUAUCAUCCCAGUGGGCAUGAAAUGGUGCUGUGACUUUAAUUUGCAUCUCCUGAAUGAUCAGUGGCAUUGAGUAUCUUCUUGUGUGCUUAAUUGGGCAUUUGUAUAUUUGACAUUUUUAACUUAGAAAAAAUGUUUAGAAGAUAGUUUAUUUUUAAUGAACACGAAAUUCAUAGGUCUCUCUGAGACCACAGCAAUGACCACUAAAAGGAAAAAAUUCAAUAAGACACUUUAAUGUCCCAUAAAAGACAAAAUAGUGAGAGAUCCCUUGGGGAUAAAGAAGGACUUUGGCCCCAGAAUCAGGUGACAAAUGUCACUCCUAACUCUGGGCAAGGUAUUCAGCCUCUCUGAGCCUUGGUUUCUACAGUUGUAAAAUGGAAGAUUAAUAAUACCGAUGUCAUAGGACUGGGGUGAUAAUUAAAUAAAAUGGACACACACAUAAAGCACAUAGUAAGUCCCUGGCACAUAGUGAACACUCAAUAAAUCCUUGUGGAGGAAAUGAAACUAAUUAAACUUCAUCAUUUUUAAAAGUUUGGGAUUUCAAGGAAGUUUGAUUGUGCAAAUAUAUAUUAGGACUUUCAAAAAAGAAAUAAUUUGUUUCCCAGAUUUAACUGAGCA